This 500-nucleotide ribosomal RNA is filed under the name uncultured bacterium. RNAcentral's name for it is "partial 16S ribosomal RNA". It matches the Rfam family "Bacterial small subunit ribosomal RNA", at positions 29 to 523 of the family's 1533-position model. The record is from RNAcentral.
AUUGAACGCUGGCGGCAUGCCUUACACAUGCAAGUCGAACGGCAGCACGGGAGCAAUCCUGGUGGCGAGUGGCGAACGGGUGAGUAAAGUAUCGGAACGUGCCCAGUCGUGGGGGAUAACGUAGCGAAAGUUACGCUAAUACCGCAUACGAUCUAUGGAUGAAAGCGGGGGAUCGCAAGACCUCGCGCGAUUGGAGCGGCCGAUAUCAGAGUAGGUAGUUGGUGGGGUAAAGGCUCACCAAGCCGACGAUCUGUAGCUGGUCUGAGAGGACGACCAGCCACACUGGGACUGAGACACGGCCCAGACUCCUACGGGAGGCAGCAGUGGGGAAUUUUGGACAAUGGGCGAAAGCCUGAUCCAGCCAUGCCGCGUGCAGGAUGAAGGCCUUCGGGUUGAAAACUGCUUUUGUACGGAACGAAAAGGUUUGGGCUAAUAAGCUGAGCUCAUGACGGUACCGUAAGAAUAAGCACCGGCUAACUACGUGCCAGCCGCCGCGGUAA